UGCCACAUCCUGACGGGAGAGAAGGUGGCCAUUAAAAUCAUGGAGAAGAAGGAACUGGGGGAGGACCUUCCUCGUGUGAAGGUGGAGAUAGAGGCCAUGAAGAGUCUGAGCCAUCAGCAUGUCUGUAGACUGUACCAUGUUAUCGAGACUAAUACCAAGAUAUACAUGAUCCUGGAGUAUUGUCCGGGAGGAGAGCUGUUUGACUACAUCAC
Oncorhynchus keta (chum salmon) is the source of this 212-nucleotide long non-coding RNA. RefSeq lists it as uncharacterized. NCBI's taxonomy places the organism in Eukaryota, Metazoa, Chordata, Actinopteri, Salmoniformes, Salmonidae. The transcript is spliced from 3 exons. The record is from RefSeq and is a predicted model, not a curated record.